RNAcentral lists this transfer RNA (76 nucleotides) under Mollicutes bacterium. RNAcentral's name for it is "tRNA-Glu". It matches the Rfam family "tRNA". Rfam says of the family: Transfer RNA (tRNA) molecules are approximately 80 nucleotides in length. Their secondary structure includes four short double-helical elements and three loops (D, anti-codon, and T loops). Further hydrogen bonds mediate the characteristic L-shaped molecular structure. tRNAs have two regions of fundamental functional importance: the anti-codon, which is responsible for specific mRNA codon recognition, and the 3' end, to which the tRNAs corresponding amino acid is attached (by aminoacyl-tRNA synthetases). tRNAs cope with the degeneracy of the genetic code in two manners: having more than one tRNA (with a specific anti-codon) for a particular amino acid; and 'wobble' base-pairing, i.e. permitting non-standard base-pairing at the 3rd anti-codon position. The record is from RNAcentral. Lineage: Bacteria; Bacillati; Mycoplasmatota; Mollicutes.
GGCCCGUUGGUGAAGUGGUUAACACACCAGUUUUUCACACUGGCAGGCAGGAGUUCGAAUCUCCUACGGGUCGCCA